CGCGUAGCUGUACUGAGAGGUAGAACAGCCACAAUGGGACUGAGACACGGCCCAUACUUCUACGGGAGGCAGCAGUAGGGAAUUUUUCACAAUGGGCGAAAGCCUUAUGAAGCAAUGCCGCGUGAACGAUGAAGGUCUAUAAGAUUGUAAAGUUCUUUUAUUUGGGAAGAACCACUAAAAUAGGAAAUGAUUUUAGUUUGACUGUACCAUUUGAAUAAGUAUCGGCUAACUAUGUGCCAGCAGCCGCGGUAAUACAUAGGAUGCAAGCGUUAUCCGGAUUUACUGGGCGUAAAACGAGCGCAGGCGGAUUUGUAAGUUUGGUAUGAAAUCUAGAUGCUUAACGUCUAGCUGUAUCAAAAACUACGAAUCUAGAGUGUAGCAGAGAGUUGGGGAACUCCAUGUGGAGCGGUAAAAUGCGUAGAUAUAUGGAAGAACACCGGUGGCGAAGGCGCCAACUUGGACUAUUACUGACGCUUAGGCUCGAAAGUGUGGGGAGCAAAUAGGAUUAGAUACCCUAGUAGUCCACACCGUAAACGAUCAUCAUUAAAUGUCGGCUCGCUUAUGAGUCGGUGUUGUAGCUAACGCA
Molecule: ribosomal RNA, 586 nt
Filed under: uncultured Ureaplasma sp.
Lineage: Bacteria; Bacillati; Mycoplasmatota; Mycoplasmoidales; Mycoplasmoidaceae
Description: bacterial SSU rRNA
Rfam family: Bacterial small subunit ribosomal RNA
Source: RNAcentral